Molecule: ribosomal RNA, 253 nt
Filed under: uncultured bacterium
Lineage: Bacteria
Description: partial 16S ribosomal RNA
Rfam family: Bacterial small subunit ribosomal RNA
Source: RNAcentral
UACGUAGGGGGCAAGCGUUGUCCGGAUUUAUUGGGCGUAAAGAGCGUGUAGGCGGCCAGACAGGUCCGUUGUGAAAACUCGAGGCUCAACCUCGAGAUGUCGAUGGAAACCGUCUGGCUAGAGUCCGGAAGAGGAGUGUGGAAUUCCUGGUGUAGCGGUGAAAUGCGCAGAUAUCAGGAGGAACACCGAUGGCGAAGGCAGGUCUCUGGGCCAUAACUGACGCUGAGAAGCGAAAGCAUGGGGAGCGAACAGG